UACGGGAGGCAGCAGUGGGGAAUAUUGCACAAUGGGCGAAAGCCUGAUGCAGCGACGCCGCGUGAGGGAUGAAGGCCUUCGGGUCGUAAACCUCUUUCAGCAGGGAAGAAGCGCAAGUGACGGUACCCGCAGAAGAAGCACCGGCUAACUACGUGCCAGCAGCCGCGGUAAUACGUAGGGUGCGAGCGUUGUCCGGAAUUAUUGGGCGUAAAGAGCUCGUAGGCGGCUUGUCGCGUCGGAUGUGAAAGCCCGGGGCUUAACCCCGGGUCUGCAUUCGAUACGGGCAGGCUAGAGUGUGGUAGGGGAGAUCGGAAUUCCUGGUGUAGCGGUGAAAUGCGCAGAUAUCAGGAGGAGCACCGGUGGCGAAGGCGGAUCUCUGGGCCAUUACUGACGCUGAGGAGCGAAAGCGUGGGGAGCGAACAGGAUUAGAUACCCUGGUAGUCCACGCCGUAAACGGUGGGAACUAGGUGUUGGCGACAUUCCACGUCGUCGGUGCCGCAGCUAACGCAUUAAGUUCCCCGCCUGGGGAGU
This 531-nucleotide ribosomal RNA is filed under the name uncultured bacterium. RNAcentral's name for it is "bacterial SSU rRNA". It matches the Rfam family "Bacterial small subunit ribosomal RNA", at positions 340 to 881 of the family's 1533-position model. The record is from RNAcentral.